RNAcentral lists this ribosomal RNA (253 nucleotides) under uncultured bacterium. Its description in RNAcentral is "partial 16S ribosomal RNA". It matches the Rfam family "Bacterial small subunit ribosomal RNA", at positions 524 to 776 of the family's 1533-position model. The record is from RNAcentral.
UACGUAGGGUGCAAGCGUUAAUCGGAAUUACUGGGCGUAAAGCGUGCGUAGACGGUUAUUUAAGUCGGGUGUGAAAGCCCCGGGCUCAACCUGGGAAUUGCAUUCGAGAGUGAAUAGCUAGGGUACGGUAGAGGGAAGUGGAAUUUCCGGUGUAGCGGUGAAAUGCGUAGAUAUCGGAAGGAACAUCAGUGGCGAAAGCGACUUCCUGGACCAGUACCGACGUUCAGGCACGAAAGCGUGGGGAGCAAACAGG